RNAcentral lists this ribosomal RNA (431 nucleotides) under uncultured Rickettsiaceae bacterium. Its description in RNAcentral is "bacterial SSU rRNA". It matches the Rfam family "Bacterial small subunit ribosomal RNA", at positions 354 to 776 of the family's 1533-position model. Lineage: Bacteria; Pseudomonadati; Pseudomonadota; Alphaproteobacteria; Rickettsiales; Rickettsiaceae. The record is from RNAcentral.
GUGGGGAAUCUUGGACAAUGGGGGCAACCCUGAUCCAGCAAUGCCACGUGUGUGAAGAAGGCCUUUGGGUCGUAAAGCACUUUAGAAGGGGAAGAAGUAGCUUGUACUAAUAAUAUAAGUCUAUUGACGGUACCCUUAGAAUAAGCACCGGCUAACUCUGUGCCAGCAGCCGCGGUGAGACAGAGGGUGCAAGCGUUAAUCGGAUUGAUUGGGCGUAAAGGGCGUGUAGGUGGUAAUCCAGGUUUAGUGUGAAAGCUCUCGGCUCAACCGAGAAAGUGCAUUAAAUACCAGAUUACUAGAGUGAGAGAGAGGACUGUGGAAUUUUCGGUGUAGCGGUGAAAUGUGUAGAUAUCGAAAGGAACACCAGUGGCGAAGGCGACAGUCUGGCUCUAUACUGACACUGAGGCGCGAAGGCGUGGGGAGCAAACAGG